Long non-coding RNA from Telopea speciosissima, 293 nucleotides. RefSeq lists it as uncharacterized. Lineage: Eukaryota; Viridiplantae; Streptophyta; Magnoliopsida; Proteales; Proteaceae. The record is from RefSeq and is a predicted model, not a curated record. The transcript is spliced from 3 exons.
UGGUAUCAAAAUUCUAGCAAAUGCAGAUGGGCUUUGAUUGCUACAUACCCUUGAGAAUCGUUCAUUUGACACUUCAAGAGUUGCUUCUGGUUCUAUUGUGAAGGCAACUACACUCAACACAUUUGGUCCUACAACAACUGGCACAAAUGUUGGUGUUGUAGAUCGAGGUCCUCCAACAAUGGGAAUAGUUGGACUGAAUGGAGAGAGCCGGGGUUUGUCUGAUGUGAAACCACCCAGAGUUGUAGAGGAUUCUAUAGAGAAGCCUAAGAUUUGGAAGUUGACUGAAAUCAAUG